Molecule: ribosomal RNA, 373 nt
Filed under: uncultured organism
Description: bacterial SSU rRNA
Rfam family: Bacterial small subunit ribosomal RNA
Source: RNAcentral
CCAGAGGUCCCGAGCGUUGUUCGGAUUCACUGGGCGUAAAGGGUGCGUAGGUGGUGAGGUAAGUCGGAUGUGAAAUCUCCGGGCUCAACCCGGAAAUGGCAUUGGAAACUACCUUGCUGGAGGAUUUGAGGGGGGAUUGGAAUACUUGGUGUAGCAGUGAAAUGCGUAGAUAUCAAGUGGAACACCAGUGGCGAAGGCGAAUCCCUGGAAAAUACCUGACACUGAGGCACGAAAGCUAGGGGAGCAAACAGGAUUAGAUACCCUGGUAGUCCUAGCCCUAAACGGUGCUUGCUUGCUGUAAGAGGAAUCGACCCCUCUUGUGGCGGAGCUAACGCGUUAAGCAAGCCGCCUGGGAAGUACGGUCGCAAGAUUA